UACGUAGGUGGCGAGCGUUGUCCGGAUUUACUGGGCGUAAAGGGAGCGUAGGCGGUUUAUUAAGUCUGGUGUAAAAGGCAGUGGCUCAACCAUUGUAUGCAUUGGAAACUGGUAGACUUGAGUGCAGGAGAGGAGAGUGGAAUUCCAUGUGUAGCGGUGAAAUGCGUAGAUAUAUGGAGGAACACCGGUGGCGAAAGCGGCUCUCUGGUCUGUAACUGACGCUGAGGUUCGAAAGCGUGGGUAGCAAACAGG
Molecule: ribosomal RNA, 252 nt
Filed under: uncultured bacterium
Lineage: Bacteria
Description: partial 16S ribosomal RNA
Rfam family: Bacterial small subunit ribosomal RNA
Source: RNAcentral